This 264-nucleotide unclassified non-coding RNA is filed under the name plant metagenome. RNAcentral's name for it is "partial contains small subunit ribosomal RNA, internal transcribed spacer 1, and 5.8S ribosomal RNA". The record is from RNAcentral.
UUUCCGUAGGUGAACCUGCGGAAGGAUCAUUAUUGAAACUUCAUCCGGGGCGCCGCGGCCCUCAGCACCGGUGGAAACGCCGUGCUGCGGGGGCCGCGCGUGCACUCGUCCAAACCAAACCCCUGUGAACCUUACGGGAUGGCCCGGGUUAGCGCCCGGUGCCGUUCCGCUUUAUACAAACACUUAUCAAAGAAUGAACUGAAGGCGGUCUGUCCGCUGGAUAACAAACUGAAACAACUUUCAACAACGGAUCUCUUGGCUCUC